AGGUGGAACCCCGGCCCAACCGCCUGCCCGAUCCUACGGAUCAGAAGGUUGCAGGUUCGAAUCCUGCCGAGU
This 72-nucleotide transfer RNA is filed under the name Streptomyces echinatus. Its description in RNAcentral is "tRNA-OTHER". The record is from RNAcentral. Lineage: Bacteria; Bacillati; Actinomycetota; Actinomycetes; Kitasatosporales; Streptomycetaceae.